GUGGGGAAUAUUGGACAAUGGGCGAAAGCCUGAUCCAGCCAUGCCGCGUGUGUGAAGAAGGUCUUCGGAUUGUAAAGCACUUUAAGUUGGGAGGAAGGGCAGUAAGUUAAUACCUUGCUGUUUUGACGUUACCGACAGAAUAAGCACCGGCUAACUUCGUGCCAGCAGCCGCGGUAAUACGAAGGGUGCAAGCGUUAAUCGGAAUUACUGGGCGUAAAGCGCGCGUAGGUGGUUUUGUAAGUUGGAGGUGAAAUCCCCGGGCUCAACCUGGGAACUUCCUCCAAAACUGCAUGACUAGAGUACGGUAGAGGGUAGUGGAAUUUCCUGUGUAGCGGUGAAAUGCGUAGAUAUAGGAAGGAACACCAGUGGCGAAGGCGACUACCUGGACUGAUACUGACACUGAGGUGCGAAAGCGUGGGGAGCAAACAGGAUUAGAUACCCUUGUAGUCC
This 450-nucleotide ribosomal RNA is filed under the name uncultured bacterium. Its description in RNAcentral is "bacterial SSU rRNA". It matches the Rfam family "Bacterial small subunit ribosomal RNA", at positions 354 to 796 of the family's 1533-position model. The record is from RNAcentral.